Molecule: ribosomal RNA, 497 nt
Filed under: uncultured bacterium
Lineage: Bacteria
Description: partial 16S ribosomal RNA
Rfam family: Bacterial small subunit ribosomal RNA
Source: RNAcentral
GAUGAACGCUGGCGGCGUGCCUAAUACAUGCCAGUCGAGCGAACGGACGAGAAGCUUGCUUCUCUGAUGUUAGCGGCGGACGGGGGAGUAACACGUGGAUAACCUACCUAUAAGACUGGGAUAACUUCGGGAAACCGGAGCUAAUACCGGAUGAUAUUUUGAAACGCAUUGUUUAAAAGUGAAAGACGGUCUUGCUGUCACUUAUAGAUGGAUCCGCGCUGCAUUAGCUAGUUGGUAAGGUAACGGCUUACCAAGGCAACGAUGCAUAGCCGACCUGAGAGGGUGAUCGGCCACACUGGAACUGAGACACGGUCCAGACUCCUACGGGAGGCAGCAGUAGGGAAUCUUCCGCAAUGGGCGAAAGCCUGACGGAGCAACGCCGCGUGAGUGAUGAAGGUCUUCGGAUCGUAAAACUCUGUUAUUAGGGAAGAACAUAUGUGUAAGUAACUGUGCACAUCUUGACGGUACCUAAUCAGAAAGCCACGACUAACUACGUG